CCUCUAGAGCAAUGUAGAACACGGCUUAGAGCAGAAGUUCCAAGGCGGCGAGAUCAGGGCUGGAAAGAAACUACGUUUCAGGUCUUUGUAUGAGAGGUCCCCAGUAGUCUGUAGGAGUCCAGGAGAAAGCGAGUUCUUUCUCAACUCGUGAAAGAGUUGGAAGCUAGACAGUCUGUGACCUGUCUCCCUUUGAGGAAACAAGGCAGGGCUUUGUCCCGUGCACUUCGAAGGCAAUGUAGCACACGACAGAGUAGAAGUUCUACUUCAGCGUGAUCAGGUUUGGAAAGAAACUGCGUUUCACAGGCCUUUGAACGAGAUGUUCCCAGUAGGCUGUAAGAGCACUGAGGAGAGCGAGGUGUUUCUUGGCUUACCAAAGAGCUUGAAGAAACACGCUUUGUGGCCUGUCUUCUCUUGAGGAAACAAGGCAGGACUUUGUGCCUUGCAACUCUAGGCAAUGUAGGACACGGCAGAGCACAAGUUCUACUUCAACGAGUUCAGGGUUGGAAAAAACUGCGUUUCAUGGGCCUUUGUAAGAGAUGUUCACAGUAGGCUGUAAGAGCACUGUGGAGAGCGAGAUGUUUCUUCACUUCCCAAAGAGCUGGAAGGAAGACCAUUUGUGGCUUGUCUCCUUUGUAGGCAAUGACACAGCCCUCUGUGACUUCCACCUCUAGAGCAACGUAGAACACGGAUUAGAGCAGAAGUUGCAAGGCGGUGACAUCAGGGCUGGGAACAAACUGUGUUUCAGGUUUUUGCAUUAGAGGGUCUAGGUAAGCUGUAAGAGCCCAGGGAAAAGCGAGUUCUUUCCCACCUUGAGAAAGAGCUGUAAUCAAGACGCUUGGUGGCCUGUCUCCACUUGAAGAAACAAGGCAGGACUUUGUUCCAUGCAACUCUAGGGCAAUGUAGGACACGGCAGAGCACAAGUUCUACUUCAGCGAGUCCAGGGCUGGAAAGAAACUGCGUUUCACAGGCAUUUUAGAGAGAUGUUCCUGGUAAGAUGUAAGAGCACUGUGGAGAGUGAGUUUUUGCUUUGAUUCCCAAAGAGCUGGAAGCAAGACCGUUUGUGGCUUGUCUCCUUUGGCAGCAAUGACUUAGUGCUUUGUGUCUUCCACCUCCAGAGCAAUGUGAGACAUGGCUUAGAACAGAAGUUCCAAGGUGGUGCGAUCAUGGCUGGAAACAAACUGCAUUUCAGGCCUUUGUACGAGAGGUUCCCCAUAGGCUAUAAGAGCCCUUUGGAAAGCGAGUUUUUUCUCACCUAGCCAAAGAGCUGGAAGUAAGAGGGUCUGUGGCCUCUCACCUCAUAAGGAAGUCAGGCAGGCCAUUGUGAUUUCCACCUCUAAGGCAAUGAAUUACACGGCAGAGCAGAAGUUCUCCUUCAGCAACAUAAAGGCUGGGAAGAAACUGCGUUUCACAGGAUUUGUGAG
Molecule: long non-coding RNA, 1421 nt
Filed under: Equus caballus (horse)
Lineage: Eukaryota; Metazoa; Chordata; Mammalia; Perissodactyla; Equidae
Description: lncRNA (ENSECAG00000057100.1)
Source: RNAcentral